Molecule: ribosomal RNA, 490 nt
Filed under: uncultured bacterium
Lineage: Bacteria
Description: partial 16S ribosomal RNA
Rfam family: Bacterial small subunit ribosomal RNA
Source: RNAcentral
AUUGAACGCUGGCGGCAGGCCUAACACAUGCAAGUCGAACGGUAACAGAAAGCAGCUUGCUGCUUUGCUGACGAGUGGCGGACGGGUGAGUAAUGUCUGGGAAACUGCCUGAUGGAGGGGGAUAACUACUGGAAACGGUAGCUAAUACCGCAUAACGUCGCAAGACCAAAGAGGGGGACCUUCGGGCCUCUUGCCAUCGGAUGUGCCCAGAUGGGAUUAGCUAGUAGGUGGGGUAAAGGCUCACCUAGGCGACGAUCCCUAGCUGGUCUGAGAGGAUGACCAGCCACACUGGAACUGAGACACGGUCCAGACUCCUACGGGAGGCAGCAGUGGGGAAUAUUGCACAAUGGGCGCAAGCCUGAUGCAGCCAUGCCGCGUGUAUGAAGAAGGCCUUCGGGCUGUAAAGUACUUUCAGCGGGGAGGAAGGGAGUAAAGUUAAUACCUUUGCUCAUUGACGUUACCCGCAGAAGAAGCACCGGCUAACUCCGUG